RNAcentral lists this ribosomal RNA (1242 nucleotides) under metagenome. Its description in RNAcentral is "bacterial LSU rRNA". It matches the Rfam family "Bacterial large subunit ribosomal RNA", at positions 1564 to 2816 of the family's 2925-position model. The record is from RNAcentral.
UGAUGACGAGACGCUAAGGCGUUGAAGCAGUGUAUGUCAGACUUUCAAGAAAAGCUCGCGAUGUCACAAGUAAAAAAUGCCUGUACCAUAACCGACACAGGUGGGUAAGUAGAGUAUACUAAGGGGCGCGAGAUAACUCUCUCUAAGGAACUCGGCAAAAUGACUCCGUAACUUCGGGAGAAGGAGUGCCUUAUUUAUAAGGUUGCAAUAACAAGAUCCAAGCAACUGUUUAUCAAAAACACAGGUCUCCGCUAAGUCGUAAGACGAUGUAUGGGGGCUGACGCCUGCCCAGUGCCAGAAGGUUAAAGAAGUUGGUUAGUGUACGCGAAGCUGAUGACUGAAGCCCUGGUGAACGGCGGCCGUAACGAUAACGGUCCUAAGGUAGCGAAAUUCCUUGUCGGGUAAGUUCCGACCCGCACGAAAGGCGUAAUGAUUUGGAUACUGUCUCGGAGAGAGGCUCGGUGAAAUAGACUUGUCUGUGAAGAUGCGGACUACCUGCACCAGGACAGAAAGACCCUAUGAAGCUUUACUGUAACUUGAAAUUGGAAUUGGACUUUGCUUGCGCAGUAUAGGUGGGAAGCGUUGAAAAUAUUCUUGCGGGAGUAUUGGAGCUAUCAGUGAGAUACCACUCUUGUAAUGUUAGAUUUCUAACUUUGAACCAUAAUCUGGUCAAAGAACAGUUUCAGGUGGGCAGUUUGACUGGGGCGGUCGCCUCCCAAAUGGUAACGGAGGCGUACAAAGGUUUCCUCUGAACGGAUAGAAAUCGUAUCUAGAGUGUAAAGGCAUAAGGAAGCUUGACUGUGAGACCUACAAGUCGAGCAGGGACGAAAGUCGGUCUUAGUGAUCUGACGGUACUGAGUGGAAAGGCCGUCACUCAACGGAUAAAAGUUACUCUAGGAUAACAGGCUGAUCUCCCCCAAGAGUUCACAUCGACGGGGAGGUUUGGCACCUCGAUGUCGGCUCAUCGCAUCCUGGGGCGGUAGUACGUCCCAAGGGUUGGGCUGUUCGCCCAUGAAAGCGGUACGCGAGCUGGGUUCAGAACGUCGUGAGACAGUUCGGUCCAUAUCCGGUGUAGGCGCUAGAAUAUUGAGAGGAGCCUUCUUUAGUACGAGAGGACCGAGAAGGACACACCGCUGGUGUACCAGUUAUCGUGCCAACGGUAAACGCUGGGUAGCUAUGUGUGGAGUGGAUAACCGCUGAAAGCAUCUAAGUGGGAAGCCCACCUCGAGAUGAGUAUUCUCU